RNAcentral lists this non-coding RNA (170 nucleotides) under uncultured Prevotella sp. The record is from RNAcentral. Lineage: Bacteria; Pseudomonadati; Bacteroidota; Bacteroidia; Bacteroidales; Prevotellaceae.
CUGGUUCACACAUGAGUGAUUAAAAGGGAAACGGGUGAAAGUCCCGUACAGUCCCGCUGCUGUGAGCCGCCGUUGUCGGUACGGGCAAGCAUGGCCACUGGCACAGUUUUUACGCCGGGAAGGCCGCCCGUAUCAGUGGCAGCAAAGUCAGAAGACCUGCCGUCGGCAAU